CUGAUGCUUUAGGUGCGUUUCACGCAUGGAGUGCAACAACAACUUUUAUUUUGGUGGGUCCCACUACAGAGCUAAAAAUCAUCUCUCCCUAUAACACCUCAAAUUCAUUGCUCCCCUCAUUCUCUCACCUCCACAUAUACAUUCAAACCCACAAAAAUCACUUAAAAUCCACUAUUAUGAUCCAUGUGGAUGCUCUAAUUAGCCCAUUCAUGGCAUCAAAUUCAUCAAUAUGUAAUUCCUAAUAUACCCCGCAGCUUGUGAUACAUAAUAGAAUAGCGGGGCCCAAGCCCAACAAUCUUACCCGGCUGGGCGUGGGCGGCUUCAGUGCUUAGCGCUUACAGUAGUCAGUAGACACCGACAUUCAAAACCCGCCAUGGAAAGUGAAGUGUCCAACCGCAAGCUAUCGAUGCAUCGCCUUUUUUGCUCGUUUGGAAGAUGAUUUCAAGUUGGCUUCUGGUUCAAAUUGUGACAAGGCCCUAAACUGUAACCAAAAGUCAAUGACUCAAUAUGGAAACCAAGUUGAAAAUGAAACUCUCAUAUUAGGUUAUACUAGUUUCAUGUUUGGUAUCCCAAUAUGUCUUGACCCCCAAUAGUGGAUGGUAUACAGUGGGCCAUACUGGCUGGUGUAGGCGCUGUGCAUAGGUUGCAAUGGUGGAGAUGGUGGUCAUGAGUAGAGGCAACUGCCAUGGAUGAGGAUUUACGUUUCCAAAUUUCCAUAUUAAGUUUGAAAGUACUAUAUUCUGUUUUUGAAUAUAGAAAAGAGCUCAUUUUGAAUAGAAAGCUAUGUUUCCAAUUCAUAACAGGCCCUUAACUUUGCAAAGUUGAUGCUUUUAAGUUGUUGAUAUUGAUAUGGAAAAUUCAAAGAAAAGAAAACGUCAUGUGUCUACAUUACACAUUUGACUUUUAUGGACUCCAAUAAAGAUUUGCAAAAUCUGUGAUGA
Long non-coding RNA from Ipomoea triloba (trilobed morning glory), 941 nucleotides. RefSeq lists it as uncharacterized. Lineage: Eukaryota; Viridiplantae; Streptophyta; Magnoliopsida; Solanales; Convolvulaceae. The record is from RefSeq and is a predicted model, not a curated record. The transcript has 2 exons.